Molecule: long non-coding RNA, 743 nt
Organism: Cyprinus carpio carpio
Lineage: Eukaryota; Metazoa; Chordata; Actinopteri; Cypriniformes; Cyprinidae
Source: Ensembl
UAAAAUAGCCAUCGAGGAGUUGAUGAGGAUGUGUGACACUCAAAAACAAAAUAUAAAUAUAAAUACACAAACUCUAUGGAAAGACAUUGAAUCUGUGAGACUGAAGUUACAGACCCUGUGAAAGCCUCGUCCAAGUCCAAGUCUCUUCCCAGCUGCUACUCCAUUUCUCUGGCUGGCCCACAAUGCAGUGCUGCAGGCGUCCUCAAUCACUGAGGCAUAUGAUGUGAGUGGACACCACUCAGCCAGAGAAACAGUCCUCGAUGUGUCUCCCUUGUACUCUUCCAUACUACAACCACUCACAAACACAGCCUUUCUGUUCCUAUGAGUGUCAGUACUGCUAAAUAAAUUCACUUAGACCUGACUGUUCCUCUCACUUCUUCACAAAAGCUAAAACACACGGCCAUUUCACUUCACAACAUAAGAAUACUCAACCUUGCUCUGCACACUCUUGUCAUACAAUGUUUCUCACUAGUGCAACAAAGCCAAUAACUUGUUUUUGUCGCACCAAAUGUAAUGCCCACCUGAACCUACUUGUUCCCCUCAUACUCCAAAUUUCAGCAUUAGUACAUGAUUAAUUGAUAUAUUUAUCAUAAGCAACAACAUAAUUGGCACUGUUCCUUUUGUCAGCAGUGUACUUGAUUGCCUAACAUUGGUAUAUAUCCAUAACAACAGAAAGAAACAAGCUUAAACUAAAGCAUGCCACCUUCAGCCGUACUGAGAAAGAAUGAAAUGUCACACGUGAG